CACUCCUGCGGGAGGCAGCAGUGGGGAAUUUUGGACAAUGGGCGAAAGCCUGAUCCAGCCAUGCCGCGUGCAGGAUGAAGGCCUUCGGGUUGUAAACUGCUUUUGUACGGAACGAAACGGCCUUUUCUAAUAAAGAGGGCUAAUGACGGUACCGUAAGAAUAAGCACCGGCUAACUACGUGCCAGCAGCCGCGGUAAUACGUAGGGUGCAAGCGUUAAUCGGAAUUACUGGGCGUAAAGCGUGCGCAGGCGGUUAUGUAAGACAGUUGUGAAAUCCCCGGGCUCAACCUGGGAACUGCAUCUGUGACUGCAUAGCUAGAGUACGGUAGAGGGGGAUGGAAUUCCGCGUGUAGCAGUGAAAUGCGUAGAUAUGCGGAGGAACACCGAUGGCGAAGGCAAUCCCCUGGACCUGUACUGACGCUCAUGCACGAAAGCGUGGGGAGCAAACAGGAUUAGAAACCCCUGUAGUCCCAUGAU
Molecule: ribosomal RNA, 476 nt
Filed under: uncultured organism
Description: partial 16S ribosomal RNA
Rfam family: Bacterial small subunit ribosomal RNA
Source: RNAcentral